GGCGUUCCGUGUGACUGGCGAAAUCUAAGGUGGGCGACCACCGGGGAGCGCGGGACCUCAUCACGCCGCUCGCCUGGGCAUUUUCC
Molecule: non-coding RNA, 86 nt
Filed under: Phenylobacterium sp. Root1277
Lineage: Bacteria; Pseudomonadati; Pseudomonadota; Alphaproteobacteria; Caulobacterales; Caulobacteraceae
Also listed under: 1 other name
Description: ZMP/ZTP riboswitch aptamer (pfl RNA motif)
Rfam family: ZMP/ZTP riboswitch aptamer (pfl RNA motif)
About the family: Previously known as pfl RNA. ZMP is also known as AICAR.
Source: Rfam by way of RNAcentral